This 539-nucleotide ribosomal RNA is filed under the name uncultured Fidelibacterota bacterium. RNAcentral's name for it is "bacterial SSU rRNA". It matches the Rfam family "Bacterial small subunit ribosomal RNA", at positions 1 to 527 of the family's 1533-position model. The record is from RNAcentral. Lineage: Bacteria; Pseudomonadati; Fidelibacterota.
UAGGGUUCGAUUCUGGCUCAGGACGAACGCUGGCGGCGUGCUUAACACAUGCAAGUCAAAGGAGAAAGGUUCCUUCGGGAAACGAGUAAACUGGCGAACGGGUGAGUAACACGUAGGUAACCUGCCCUAGAGACUGGGAUAACACCGCGAAAGCGGUGCUAAUACUGGAUAAUGCAGCGGGUCCUUCGGGACAUUGUUGUUAAAACUGGCUUCGGCUAGUACUUUAGGAUGGGCCUGCGCCCGAUUAGCUUGUUGGUAGGGUAACGGCCUACCAAGGCGAUGAUCGGUAGCUGGUCUGAGAGGAUGAUCAGCCACACUGGGAUUGAGAUACGGCCCAGACUCCUACGGGAGGCAGCAGUGGGGAAUUUUGCGCAAUGGGCGAAAGCCUGACGCAGCAACGCCGCGUGACCGAUGAAGCUUCUCGGAGUGUAAAGGUCUGUCGUGAGGGAAGAAAAAUCCGGAUGUAAAUAAUGUUCGGACGUGACGGUACCUCACAAGAAAGCACCGGCUAACUUAGUGCCAGCCGCCGCGGUAAUUCA